UACGGAGGGUGCAAGCGUUGCUCGGAAUCACUGGGCGUAAAGCGACCGCAGGCGGCCUGACAAGUCGGAUGUGAAAGCCCUGGGCUCAACUCAGGAAUUGCAUUCGAAACUGGCAGGCUCGAGUACGGGAGAGGGGGGUGGAAUUCCUGGUGUAGGGGUGAAAUUCGUUGAUAUCAGGAGGAACACCGGCGGCGAAGGCGGCCCCCUGGCCCGCAACUGACGCUGAGGCGCGAAAGCUAGGGGAGCAAACAGG
RNAcentral lists this ribosomal RNA (253 nucleotides) under uncultured bacterium. RNAcentral describes it as "partial 16S ribosomal RNA". It matches the Rfam family "Bacterial small subunit ribosomal RNA", at positions 524 to 776 of the family's 1533-position model. The record is from RNAcentral.